Molecule: ribosomal RNA, 253 nt
Filed under: uncultured bacterium
Lineage: Bacteria
Description: partial 16S ribosomal RNA
Rfam family: Bacterial small subunit ribosomal RNA
Source: RNAcentral
UACGGAGGGUGCGAGCGUUGUCCGGAAUCAUUGGGCGUAAAGGGCGCGUAGGUGGCGGGCCAAGCGUGCGGUGAAAGCCUGGGGCUCAACCCCGGGUCGGCCGUGCGAACUGGUUUGCUUGAGCACUGUAGAGGCAGGCGGAAUUCCAGGUGUAGCGGUGGAAUGCGUAGAGAUCCGGAAGAACACCGGUGGCGAAGGCGGCCUGCUGGGCAGUAGCUGACACUGAGGCGCGACAGCGUGGGAAGCAAACAGG